RNAcentral lists this ribosomal RNA (480 nucleotides) under uncultured bacterium. Its description in RNAcentral is "bacterial SSU rRNA". It matches the Rfam family "Bacterial small subunit ribosomal RNA", at positions 8 to 487 of the family's 1533-position model. The record is from RNAcentral.
AGAGUUUGAUCCUGGCUCAGAUUGAACGCUGGCGGUAUGCUUAACACAUGCAAGUCGAACGGUAGCAGGCCUUCGGGCGCUGACGAGUGGCGGACGGGUGAGUAACGCGUAGGAAUCUGCCUGGUAGUGGGGGACAACGUGGGGAAACCCACGCUAAUACCGCAUACGCCCCAAGGGGGAAAGCGGGGGACCUUCGGGCCUCGCGCUAUCAGAUGAGCCUGCGUUAGAUUAGCUAGUUGGUGGGGUAAAGGCCUACCAAGGCGACGAUCUAUAGCUGGUCUGAGAGGACGAUCAGCCACACUGGGACUGAGACACGGCCCAGACUCCUACGGGAGGCAGCAGUGGGGAAUAUUGGACAAUGGGCGGAAGCCUGAUCCAGCAAUACCGCGUGUGUGAAGAAGGCCUGAGGGUUGUAAAGCACUUUCAAUUGGGAGGAAAACCCACCGGCCAAUACCCGGUGGCUUGACAUACCUAGAAGAG